AUGAUGUUGUAGUGUCGGCUUAGUUUCGGGCUAUUCACAGUCAAAAUGUUCGGGUUAGGUGUGAACUCGGUUCAGACAUGGCAUGGUUCAACAGGCUUCUUCAUCUCAAGUGCAGUUCAGUUUCGUUUCAGAUUCGGGUUUUUCGGCUCGGCUACAGUUUGGGUUCGGUUAGCUCAGUGGUGGUUCGGGACGACACGGUUCAUCGGGUCAGAUUUGGGCUCGGGUUAACUCAGUUCGUGUCCGGGUCAACACAGUCAAAACUCGGUCAACCUGAGUUAACUCGGUCAAACCGAGUCAACUCAGUCAACGACAGUCAACGAUGGUCAAACUCAGUCAAACGAAGAUCCGGAAUACUAUAGUUGCACGCUAGCUAAUUCAAGUUCUUGGAACAACCUCAUGGAAUACACACUUAGCUACCUUUGCACAAGGAUAUCAAGGUUACAUUUUCAACACUAUGGAACGGUUGGAAUAGGAAAACCCAUGGGAAUUCGAGUAAUU
Molecule: long non-coding RNA, 498 nt
Organism: Helianthus annuus (common sunflower)
Lineage: Eukaryota; Viridiplantae; Streptophyta; Magnoliopsida; Asterales; Asteraceae
Exons: 3
Source: RefSeq, a predicted model, not a curated record